UACGGGGGGGAGCAAGCGUUGUUCGGAUUUACUGGGCGUAAAGGGCGCGUAGGCGGCCAGCACAAGUCAGUUGUGAAAUCUCCGAGCUUAACUCGGAACGGUCAACUGAUACUGUGCGGCUAGAGUGCGGAAGGGGCAACUGGAAUUCUUGGUGUAGCGGUGAAAUGCGUAGAUAUCAAGAGGAACACCUGCGGCGAAGGCGGGUUGCUGGGCCGACACUGACGCUGAGGCGCGAAAGCUAGGGGAGCGAACGGG
Molecule: ribosomal RNA, 255 nt
Filed under: uncultured bacterium
Lineage: Bacteria
Description: partial 16S ribosomal RNA
Rfam family: Bacterial small subunit ribosomal RNA
Source: RNAcentral